RNAcentral lists this ribosomal RNA (407 nucleotides) under uncultured bacterium. Its description in RNAcentral is "bacterial SSU rRNA". It matches the Rfam family "Bacterial small subunit ribosomal RNA", at positions 356 to 773 of the family's 1533-position model. The record is from RNAcentral.
GGGGAAUAUUGCACAAUGGGCGCAAGCCUGAUGCAGCGACGCCGCGUGCGGGAUGACGGCCUUCGGGUUGUAAACCGCUUUUGUUGGGGAGCAAGCCUUCGGGUGAGUGUACCCUUCGAAUAAGCACCGGCUAACUACGUGCCAGCAGCCGCGGUAAUACGUAGGGUGCAAGCGUUAUCCGGAAUUAUUGGGCGUAAAGAGCUCGUAGGCGGUUCGUCGCGUCCGGUGUGAAAGUCCAUCGCUUAACGGUGGAUCUGCGCCGGGUACGGGCGGGCUGGAGUGCGGUAGGGGAGACUGGAAUUCCCGGUGUAACGGUGGAAUGUGUAGAUAUCGGGAAGAACACCAAUGGCGAAGGCAGGUCUCUGGGCCGUUACUGACGCUGAGGAGCGAAAGCGUGGGGAGCGAAC